UAAUAAGUGUUUUAUGGCACUUUUUAAAUCCAUAUCCACCUUGUGUGCAAUGUCAGUCGAUCUUCUUCAUGGAGAUCGACCAAACAUCAACCUUUAUCUUUUAACUCCUUGUCUGAAAACCAUUAUGAAUAAACUAAUUCAAAAUA
Molecule: unclassified non-coding RNA, 146 nt
Filed under: soil metagenome
Description: partial internal transcribed spacer 1
Source: RNAcentral